Molecule: long non-coding RNA, 716 nt
Filed under: Homo sapiens (human)
Lineage: Eukaryota; Metazoa; Chordata; Mammalia; Primates; Hominidae
Description: HSALNT0291340
Source: RNAcentral
CACAGACCCAGCACCAUUUAUUGAGAAGACAAUCUCUUUCCCCUGCACUUCAGUCAUUCCAUUAAAAAAAACUGACUAUCAUUUUGAAUGAUAGCUAAGAACUACUCCACCUGGCCCAGAUUCUUUGGCGUGUGUCUCUGCUCAGCUCCGAUGAAUGCAGGAAUCCCUAAUCAGAUGACUGCAAUCACAAGACUCCCCUCCAGCAGGCUGGAAUGAGGCUGUGAGGCUCCAGCAGCCGUUUUGUGCCACGAGGCAGUAGAAACCUGGGUUCCUGAUGACUGUGGAGCUGCCGAACUAAUCUGGACCUCCAGAUUCCAUACCUGCAAGACACAUGAACAUCUGUCUUAUGCCGUGGAAACAGAAAUCUAGUGGAGGAUUCUGAUCCCUAGGGAAUGUAGGGCCACUGGACCCAAUUGCCCUAUAAUCUUGUGUGGUAUUUCCCUGCCCCUGCUCAACUUCAUUGGAUGGUAUUGCCUUGGUCUUUGUUUCUUGAGGAGUCACAGAAAGAAAGACACAGACCAGGACUGGGAGGUGGAACUGGAAGUGCUGGAGAUGAGCUGCUGUGGCUGUAUGGACAAAGGCAAGAUCCUAUGGGAUGGCCAAGCAACCAGACAGAAGAACUCUUGAGACCUUGAGGAAAAGAACUGCCCGCAACUGCUCUUGACACUCUCUCCCUCUGGCCUGUUGUGUGGGAGAGAAAUAAACUUCUAUUUUAU